AACGCACCUUGCGCCCCUUGGUAUUCCGAGGGGCAUGCCUGUUUGAGUGUCAUUAAGACUCAACCCCCCUGGUUUAUGAUCGGGAAGGGUUGGAUAUGGGCGCUGCCGAUUGCCGGCUCGCCUUAAAUGUCUUAGCGGCUUAGAAGCCCUGACCUAGCGUAAUAAGUUUCGCUGGAGAGGGUGUGGACGACUGCUUACAAUCGCCUUUGGGCAACUUUUUGACUCUGGCCUCAAAUCAGGUAGGACUACCCGCUGAACUUAA
Molecule: unclassified non-coding RNA, 262 nt
Filed under: uncultured Tremellales
Lineage: Eukaryota; Fungi; Basidiomycota; Tremellomycetes; Tremellales
Description: sequence contains 5.8S rRNA gene, ITS2, 28S rRNA gene
Rfam family: 5.8S ribosomal RNA (bases 1-52)
Source: RNAcentral